Rattus norvegicus (Norway rat) is the source of this 2026-nucleotide non-coding RNA. The record is from RefSeq and is a predicted model, not a curated record. NCBI's taxonomy places the organism in Eukaryota, Metazoa, Chordata, Mammalia, Rodentia, Muridae.
AUCCGUUCCUGCCUCAAGUCCCAGCUGACUUCCCUAGAUGAUGGACUGUGAGCUGUAGGAUCAGACAAGUCCUUCCAUCCCCAUUCUGACUGGUCAUGGUCACGGCGUUCCAUCACAGCAAUAGAAACCCGAGGACAACACGUCAUACAAUAACAGCAAACAUACUGAAAGUUCAGAUGCUCACAGAAGAGGAAGUAGAGGACCUCAGAUGCCCUAUUCAAUUUACCCAUGACAGAAAAACAGCUGGGCAGGUUUUUGGCUCCUGUCUGACCCUUCUAAGAACCCACUGCUGACUGUUGGAAGCCUGACUAAUCUUGUUGGCUUGACAUCGUGCAAGGGAGGGAAACUGGACCCAAGGCUGGUGCAAGCCAGGCAAACCCUGUGCCAUGGGGCUUUCAUUCCAGACAAAAGUAUUUCUUAUCUGACUAGGUUCAUUUAUUUUAUGUGAAUGAAUGUUCGGCCUACAUGGAUGUGGGUGUAUGUGACUGGUUGCCCGCAGAGGUCAGAAGAAGGCCUUCAAUCUCCUGGAAGUGGAGUUAUGGACAGUUCUGAGUCACCGUGUGGGUACUGAGAAGUGAAUAUGGGCACUCUGCAAGAGCAACACGUGCUCCAUUCUGCUGAACUCUCUCUACAGUCCUCUGCUUUGUGUUUUUAGAGCAGGAUCUAUAGGGGCUCAGAGGUUAAGAGCACUGGCUGUUGUUCCAGACGUUCUGAGUUCCAAGCAACUACAUCCUGGCUCAAUAACCAUCUAUAAUGAGAUCUGGUGCCCUCUUCUGGUGUGUAGGCAUACAUAUAGGCAGACUACUAUAUACACAGCAAAUAAAAUAAAUCUAAAAAAAAAAAAAAAAACCAAAAGCACAAUAAUACAGGAUCUACAUUUUCCAAUCUCAGUAUACCCAUCUCUUGUCUGCUAGGAGGUGGCACAGAUAAAGGAGAGAUGCCCUCCUCCCAUUAUUCACCCCUCACCACCCAAGGCAGGUGGGAGAAUUGGCCCUGGGGUCAUGAGAGUGGGAGAACUGGCCAUGUCUCUCACAGGCUGCAACACUCAGGAGAGAAAGCCCUGCACCUCUCCUGGGCAGUAGGGUAGAGCUGGACAUGGUUGCAUAGGCUGCUUCUGAGUUGGCCCUGAGGGCAUGAGAGAUGGGGAGCCAUUGGGCUUAACAGCUCAGAUAAUACUCAGGCUCAGAUCCAGGCCUUUGAAUUGACCCAGCCCAACAUCUGCCCCAUUUAUGAACUGCUGGAGUGCAUGAAGGGGCCAGUCCAAGAGAUCAAAACUAUAGGAUCUCCAUGAUACAGGGCAAUAUCAGCAUAUCCAAGAGGAGCCCCAAAAGUGAGGUUUCAUUAUUGAUAGAGUACCAGAGGCCAGAGGUUUCUUACCUGACCAAGGAGCCAUUGCAAUGAACAUUUGCAAGCAAAUAACCAAAAGGGUAUAUUGUGGAACAUACUGUGACACUGGGACAUACUAUGGCUUCCACAAAGAUAGGGUUUUUCUGUUUUGUUUUUUGUUUUCCUGUUUUUAUUGUUUUUUUUUUAUCUGUUGGGAGGUGGGAAAGUGGUUGCAAGAUUAAAGGAUAGGUACAAGGAGAGGGGGAGUGGUGGUGUCUUAGGGUUUCAUUACUGUGAAGAGGCACCAUGACUAAGGCAACUCUUAUAGAGGAAAACGUUUAAUUGAGGCUGGUUUACAGUCUUAGUGGUUCACUCCAUUAUCAUAAUGGCAGGAAGCAUGGCGGCAUGCAGGCAGACAUGAUGCUGAAGGAGCCAAGAGCUCUUCAUCUUGUUCCAAAGGCAGCCAGAAGGAGACUCUUCUGCAGGCAGCCCUGAGGUGGGUCUAUUCCACACUGGACAGAGCUUGAGUACUAGGAGACCUCAAAGCCUUCCUACACAGUGAUACACUUCCUCCAACAAGGCCAUACCUUUCCAAUAAGGCCACACCUCCUAAUAGUGUCAUUUCCCAUGGGCCAAGCAUCUUCAAACCACCGCCUAUGGGAUUGGGGCGGGGGUAUGAUGUGAAAUGCACAAAGAACCA